UUUGCGUCGAAGGUAUACCGGUAAGGAGUGCUGGAGCGAAUAGAAGUGAGCAUGCAGGCAUGAGUAGCGAUAAUUAAUGUGAGAAUCAUUAACGCCGUAAACCCAAGGUUUCCUACGCGAUGCUCGUCAUCGUAGGGUUAGUCGGGUCCUAAGCCGAGUCCGAAAGGGGUAGGCGAUGGCAAAUUGGUUAAUAUUCCAAUACCAACAUUAGUGUGCGAUGGAAGGACGCUUAGGGCUAAGGGGGCUAGCGGAUGGAAGUGCUAGUCUAAGGUCGUAGGAGGUUAUACAGGCAAAUCCGUAUAACAAUACUCCGAGAACUGAAAGGCUUUUUGAAGUCUUCGGAUGGAUAGAAGAACCCCUGAUGCCGUCGAGCCAAGAAAAGUUUCUAAGUUUAGCUAAUGUUGCCCGUACCGUAAACCGACACAGGUGGGUGGGAUGAGUAUUCUAAGGCGCGUGGAAGAACUCUCUUUAAGGAACUCUGCAAAAUAGCACCGUAUCUUCGGUAUAAGGUGUGGUUCGCUUUGUAUUAGGAUUUACUCCGAAAGCAAGGAAACUUACAACAAAGAGUCCCUCCCGACUGUUUACCAAAAACACAGCACUCUGCUAACUCGUAAGAGGAUGUAUAGGGUGUGACGCCUGCCCGGUGCUCGAAGGUUAAUUGAUGGGGUUAGCAUUAGCGAAGCUCUUGAUCGAAGCCCGAGUAAACGGCGGCCGUAACUAUAACGGUCCUAAGGUAGCGAAAUUCCUUGUCGGUUAAAUACCGACCUGCAUGAAUGGCGUAACGAGAUGGGAGCUGUCUCAAAGAGGGAUCCAGUGAAAUUGUAGUGGAGGUGAAAAUUCCUCCUACCCGCGGCAAGACGGAAAGACCCCGUGGACCUUUACUACAGCUUGACACUGCUACUUGGAUAAGAAUGUGCAGGAUAGGUGGGAGGCUUUGAGUAUAUGACGCCAGUUGUAUAUGAGCCAUUGUUGAGAUACCACUCUUUCUUAUUUGGGUAGCUAACCAGCUUGAGUUAUCCUCAAGUGGGACAAUGUCUGGUGGGUAGUUUGACUGGGGCGGUCGCCUCCCAAAUAAUAACGGAGGCUUACAAAGGUUGGCUCAGAACGGUUGGAAAUCGUUCGUAGAGUAUAAAGGUAUAAGCCAGCUUAACUGCAAGACAUACAAGUCAAGCAGAGACGAAAGUCGGUCUUAGUGAUCCGGUGGUUCUGUGUGGAAGGGCCAUCGCUCAAAGGAUAAAAGGUACCCCGGGGAUAACAGGCUGAUCUCCCCCAAGAGCUCACAUCGACGGGGAGGUUUGGCACCUCGAUGUCGGCUCAUCGCAUCCUGGGGCUGGAGCAGGUCCCAAGGGUAUGGCUGUUCGCCAUUUAAAGCGGUACGCGAGCUGGGUUCAGAACGUCGUGAGACAGUUCGGUCCCUAUCUGCCGUGGGCGUAAGAAGAUUGAAGAGAUUUGACCCUAGUACGAGAGGACCGGGUUGAACAAACCACUGGUGUAGCUGUUGUUCUGCCAAGAGCAUCGCAGCGUAGCUAAGUUUGGAAAGGAUAAACGCUGAAAGCAUCUAAGCGUGAAGCCAACUCUAAGAUGAAUCUUCUCUAAGCUCUCUAGAAGACUACUAGUUUGAUAGGCUGGGUGUGUAAUGGAUGAAAGUCCUUUAGCUGACCAGUACUAAUAGAGCGUUUGGCUUAUCUUUAAUAAAGCAU
RNAcentral lists this ribosomal RNA (1700 nucleotides) under Campylobacter jejuni. Its description in RNAcentral is "partial 23S ribosomal RNA". It matches the Rfam family "Bacterial large subunit ribosomal RNA", at positions 1244 to 2925 of the family's 2925-position model. Lineage: Bacteria; Pseudomonadati; Campylobacterota; Epsilonproteobacteria; Campylobacterales; Campylobacteraceae. The record is from RNAcentral.